Molecule: non-coding RNA, 130 nt
Organism: Vigna angularis (adzuki bean)
Lineage: Eukaryota; Viridiplantae; Streptophyta; Magnoliopsida; Fabales; Fabaceae
Source: Rfam
AGGUCUUGUAGUGCAGCCAAGGAUGACUUGCCGUUAAGCUUGUUUUGGCAUUCUUAUGAAAACCUACUUCUUCAUCUUCCCAUGCUAACUAGUUAAGCGGCAAGUCAACUAUGGCUACGCUGAGGCCUCC